This 253-nucleotide ribosomal RNA is filed under the name uncultured bacterium. RNAcentral describes it as "partial 16S ribosomal RNA". It matches the Rfam family "Bacterial small subunit ribosomal RNA", at positions 524 to 776 of the family's 1533-position model. The record is from RNAcentral.
UACAGAGGGGGCAAGCGUUGUUCGGAAUUACUGGGCGUAAAGGGCGCGUAGGCGGCCGCCUAAGUCAGACGUGAAAUCCCUCGGCUCAACCGGGGAACUGCGUCUGAUACUGGGUGGCUUGAAUCCGGGAGAGGGAUGCGGAAUUCCAGGUGUAGCGGUGGAAUGCGUAGAGAUCCGGAAGAACACCGGUGGCGAAGGCGGCCUGCUGGGCAGUUGCUGACACUGAUGCGCGACAGCGUGGGGAGCAAACAGG